GUCCGAGGCAAUAACAGG
This 18-nucleotide unclassified non-coding RNA is filed under the name Dictyostelium discoideum. Lineage: Eukaryota; Evosea; Eumycetozoa; Dictyosteliales; Dictyosteliaceae. The record is from RNAcentral.